UACGGAGGGUGCAAACGUUGCUCGGAAUCACUGGGCGUAAAGCGCACGUAGGCGGCCCGACAAGUCGGAUGUGAAAGCCCUGGGCUCAACCUAGGAAGUGCAUUCGAAACUGCCGGGCUUGAGUACGGGAGAGGGUUGCGGAAUUCCUGGUGUAGCGGUGGAAUGCGCAGAUAUCAGGAGGAACACCAAUAGCGAAGGCAGCUCGCUGGGACGGUACUGACGCUGAGGCGCGAAAGCGUGGGGAGCAAACAGG
RNAcentral lists this ribosomal RNA (253 nucleotides) under uncultured bacterium. Its description in RNAcentral is "partial 16S ribosomal RNA". It matches the Rfam family "Bacterial small subunit ribosomal RNA", at positions 524 to 776 of the family's 1533-position model. The record is from RNAcentral.